ACGAACGCUGGCGGCGUGCCUAAUACAUGCAAGUAGAACGCUGAAGGAGGAGCUUGCUUCUCUGGAUGAGUUGCGAACGGGUGAGUAACGCGUAGGUAACCUGCCUGGUAGCGGGGGAUAACUAUUGGAAACGAUAGCUAAUACCGCAUAAGAGUAGAUGUCGCAUGACAUUUGCUUAAAAGGUGCAAUUGCAUCACUACCAGAUGGACCUGCGUUGUAUUAGCUAGUUGGUGAGGUAACGGCUCACCAAGGCAACGAUACAUAGCCGACCUGAGAGGGUGAUCGGCCACACUGGGACUGAGACACGGCCCAGACUCCUACGGGAGGCAGCAGUAGGGAAUCUUCGGCAAUAGACGGAAGUCUGACCGAGCAACGCCGCGUGAGUGAAGAAGGUUUUCGGAUCGUAAAGCUCUGUUGUAAGAGAAGAACGAGUGUGAGAGUGGAAAGUUCACACUGUGACGGUAUCUUACCAGAAAGGGACGGCUAACUACGUG
This 494-nucleotide ribosomal RNA is filed under the name uncultured bacterium. RNAcentral describes it as "partial 16S ribosomal RNA". It matches the Rfam family "Bacterial small subunit ribosomal RNA", at positions 29 to 507 of the family's 1533-position model. The record is from RNAcentral.